AGGAUUUAGAUUUUUGGGAUCUUAAUUAUACUUGAUUAUAGAGAUUUUAUUUUCUAACUUCUUUAUUGUAGAUAUUCCUAAUUAGGUGUGUUGUAAAUAUUUCUAAAUUAGGUUGAUUCUUUGAGUAUAAAUACUUAAAUUUUGUAAAGAUCAAUUCAAUUAAAAUAUAAUAAAAAAUUUUCUCUCAAAAUUUUUUAUGAUAUCAGAGUUUUGCCAAUAUUAUUUGGUAUAAGAAUUCUGAUACUAUUCAUAGAGUUAGGGUUUUUUUAUAGGUUAAGCUUCUUGGCGACUCUAGAGAGGGAGUUGACCGACACUGCCCAUACCAAGAGAGAACUCAUCAAAUUUCUAGCUUAUUCCUGACGUUGCACCUCCAUUUCGGUCACGCGCGUAACCUCAUGCGCCACCCCAGGCUCGACGCUCCUUUCAACGCGUCGGCGCGUGGGUUAUUCUUUGAUGCUCCUUUCCAGCAACUUCCUCUGCACGUUGCACCUCUGACCAGCCUAGACUCGCCGAUGAACAAUUGUUUUUUCUUCAGUAACAAUAUUUUCCCCUGUUUUUUGACUGAAAAAAGUUUUUUUUUCUCAUUUUCCUUGAAAUGGCAAUGAUUAGUAUGGAUAAUGUAAGAGCUUCUGAUAAUACUUUUAUUUUGUCUUUUGAUGCUACUCGAUAAAUUAUUGAUUCUAGUACAAAUGGACACAUGACAAGCUCCUCUAUAGGCUUCCUUAAUUAUUUCUAUGUCUGCAAAAGGACACUAUUAGAGUAGUAGAUGGUUCUUUCACUUUUAUCUUUGGAACUAGUUCUACUGUUUGUAUUUCAAAUAUCAAGCUAUCCUCUUUUCUUUAUGUUCCUUAUUUUUCUGUUAAUUUUUUAUCUGUUAGUGCUCUUACCAAAGCAUUUAACUGUAAAAUUGAAUUUUUUUUCCUGAUAAUUGUGUUAUUGAGGUAUUUCAAAUUGGAAAGAUGAUUGACAAUGAUAGAAUGCAUGAUAGCUUAUAUAUGUUGGAAGGGAAUACUGUUUUUGGUUCAUCUCAAUCUCUUUGUGGCGACAAUAAGGAUGUCAACCUUGAAACUAUACAAUGGCAUAGAUGGUUAGGUCAUUCAUCAUUUUAUGUUUUAGAAAAACUUUAUACUGGCUUAUUCUCUAAGACUCAGUUUGGGUUUUUAUUUUGUGAUGUUUGUGUGAGUAUGCUAAGCAUAUAAGAAACUCUUAUGCUGUGAGUAAUAAUAGGAGUACACAGACUGUUUUCCUAUAUGGUAGUCGUUGGUUUGUUACGUUUAUUGAUUUAUGCACCCGAGUGACUUGAGUUUAUUUGAUAAAGACAAAAAAUAAUGUGUUUUCUUGCUUUCAAUCUUUUUACAGGAUGGUUUGUACUCAAUUUGAUGUUAGAUAAAAGUUUUGAGAACUGAUAAUGGCACAUGGUAUAUGGAUAGUCAUUUUGUUGAUUAUGUGGAGUUUAAUGGGAUACUAUAUCAAACUAGUUGUUCUUACACUAGUGCCCAAAAUAUUGUUACUGAAAAGAAAAAUAGGUAUUUGUUGGAAGUAACCAAAUCUCUCAUUUUUACUAUGAAUCUUCCAAAAAGUUAUUAGGAGAAUGCAGUCUUAGUUGCAGCUUAUCUUAUUAAUAGAUUGUUUCUCAAGGCUCUUGCAUUUAGAAGUCAUUUAGAGGUUCUACAUGGGAAAAAUGCUUAUAAUGUUCUACCGAAGGUGUUUGUGGACGUGUUUUUGUUCAUGCAAGUGGAAAGCUAGAUCCGAAGACUCUUAAAUAUGUGUUCGUUGGGUACUCUCCCUCACAGAAGGACUAUAAAUGUUAACACCUUCCAUUUAGAAAAUAUUUUGUCAGUAUGGAUGUUACGUUUAGAGAGACUGAACCUUACUUUAGUACUACUCCCAUCAUCUCUUCAGAGGAGAAUAACGAGAGAAGAGAUGAUUCAUAGAGCAUUUUACUUAGGAGGGGACUACUGUACUGGGGAGACUAUUGUUGAUCAUGAAGAAAAAAUUGGGCGUUUAGAUAAAUCAGAUUUAAAGAGAUACUCAAGAAGAGACAACACAGAAGCAGAAAGAGUCAUUAUGCAGCUUACUCAGUGUCAUAAAUCUUUCUCUUUCCCAUCUGCUGUGGAAGCCUUCUCUAACCCUUGAACCUUUUGAUGAUCUAAAUAAACCAAUUAGUCAAAGAAAAGAAAUUAGGUCGUACACUAAAUAUGCUAUUUCUAACUUUUUCUCUUAUGAUGCUUUAUCUCCAUCUUAUAGAGAUUUUGCCUUUAUCUAUUUUUUCUGUGUCUAUCUCACAGGAUUGGAAUGAACUCUCAAAGAUUCUAUGUGGAAGGAAGCAAGGUUAAAAAAAAGAAAGCCUUGUUAAAAAUGAAAUAUGAGAGUUGGUGUCUCUUCCACCUUAAAAAAAACUAGCUGACUGCGGAUGUUCAUUGUGAAACACAAAACAGAUAAGUUAAUUGAGAGAGUAAGGCUAGAUUAGUUGCCAAAAGAUACACUCAAACCGAUAGAGUGGAGUACAAGAGACAUUUAUCCCUUUUGCCAAAAUAAACUCAAUCAGAGUUCUGCUUUCUUGCAUUGACUGGGAUCUAGAAUUGUUGACUUAUUUGUUGAUUUUAGGAAUAUGAUUUGAUUUGAUUAGGAUUCUUAGUUAUCUCUGUAAUUAUUAUUUGAUUAUUUGUUUCCUGUUUAGAUAUAAUCCUUUGUGUAUAAAUAGUCAUGUAAACCAAUUGUAAAAAUCAAGAGUGAAAUACAAGAAUACUUUAAACUUUUCCAAAAUUCUUUAUGGUAUCAGAGCUUUUUCCUAAUUUUAAGGUUUUACGUCAAUUUUUUCCUCUUUAGGGUUUUAAAACUCUAUAUCUACUUUUUGGGUACUAACCCAUUGAGGAGCCUUUCCACCUCUCACUGCCGGCACCAGGGAAUCGCCAGUCGCCGGCCUGACUGCCAACUUUGACAUCGAAAAAGCCUGCGUGUGAGGUUCACGCGCCUUCUCUUCCCCGUGUGUGAUACAUUGCCUGCGCUGCUUCACCGCUCCAAUCACUUCAGCUGACGAUUCGGACUGUCUUUGUAACGACCCGGGAAUUGGACCGCUACUGGCGUUAGGGUUCAGAUCGACUUAAGGUCGCCGGAGCCUAUAGCAAGCCUACUAUACAUGGUUUCAAAUAACGGCCGUUAUUUACAGGUAAUGGAGGCAACUGUGGCCGUUACGGCCUUUAAACAACGGCAAAAAAAAAUGUUGCUGUAACGGCCGUUAUGGCCGUUACGCAACGGUAAUGGCCGUUACCGGCUGUUAUGUAACGGCCGUAACAGCCGUUACUUUCCUUUACAGCAAAUCACCAGGAAUCUUGCAUUAUUUUGUCCAGCCAGCAGAUCCAGGAAUCUUGCAGAAGUUGUCCAGCACUCCAGCAGCUCCUCCAGCCUGUUUCAUGUGAAAAACAAAAUAUGCAAUUUGCAAAAAUGUUUUUCUAUCGUUUCUACUUCUUCUUUUUAUUCUUUAGCCUUUACUUUACUCUCUCCUCUCUUUCUUCCAGCAGACCAGCACCUUGAGUCUCUUAUCCUUCUCCAUUUCCUCCAGCCUCCAGCAAGUCCUUCUCCAUUUCCUCCAGCCUCCAGCAAGCAGCAGCCUCAGCAGUAGCAGUGUAGCACUUCUCCUUCAGUCCUUCUCCAUUUCCUCCAGCAGACUCCAGCCUCCAGCUGUCCAGCAGGCAGCAGCAGCAGCAUAAAGAGAGUUCUCUUCUUCUUCCAUAAAUCCAUAGUGUUUUUCUUCCAUAAUCCAUACUUAUUUCCAGCUUUCAUUGAGGUAAGUUACUAAUUACUAUAUAUAAUGUUUAAAAUUUAUGAAUUUUAUGUUUAUUUGAUAUAUUUGUACUUAUUAUU
Molecule: long non-coding RNA, 3864 nt
Filed under: Manihot esculenta (cassava)
Lineage: Eukaryota; Viridiplantae; Streptophyta; Magnoliopsida; Malpighiales; Euphorbiaceae
Description: long non-coding RNA (MESC_LNC008222)
Source: RNAcentral